GACGAACGCUGGCGGCGUGCCUAAUACAUGCAAGUCGAACGAGAGCGCCCGGUGCUUGCACUGGUCAAUCUAGUGGCGAACGGGUGAGUAACACGUGGGUAACCUGCCCAUCAGAGGGGGAUAACAUCCGGAAACGGAUGCUAAAACCGCAUAGGUCUUCGAGCCGCAUGGCUUGAAGAGGAAAAGAGGCGCAAGCUUCUGCUGAUGGAUGGACCCGCGGUGCAUUAGCUAGUUGGUGAGGUAACGGCUCACCAAGGCCGUGAUGCAUAGCCGACCUGAGAGGGUGAUCGGCCACAUUGGGACUGAGACACGGCCCAAACGCCUGCGGGAGGCAGCAGUAGGGAAUCUUCCGCAAUGGACGCAAGUCUGACGGAGCAACGCCGCGUGAGUGAAGAAGGUGUUCGGAUCGUAAAACUCUGUUGUUAGAGAAGAACAAGUGCUAGAGUAACUGUUAGCGCCUUGACGGUAUCUAACCAGAAAGCCACGGCUAACUACGUG
RNAcentral lists this ribosomal RNA (498 nucleotides) under uncultured bacterium. RNAcentral describes it as "partial 16S ribosomal RNA". It matches the Rfam family "Bacterial small subunit ribosomal RNA", at positions 28 to 507 of the family's 1533-position model. The record is from RNAcentral.